Molecule: non-coding RNA, 72 nt
Organism: Podarcis lilfordi (Lilford's wall lizard)
Lineage: Eukaryota; Metazoa; Chordata; Lepidosauria; Squamata; Lacertidae
Source: the annotation of a GenBank genome assembly
AGAAGCAUAGCUCAGUGGCAGAGCAGCUGGUUUACAUGCAGAAGGUGCCAGGUUCAAUCCCUGGCAUUUCCA